CUGAAGAGUCUGCAAUAGAACCUUGUCAGCUAGUUGAGGCGGGGAGGAUACGACCCAGACCUGUACUUGUCAUCACAUCAUUAGAUGAUUCAGAUCAUGCCCAGAUAGUAAAGGAGUUGUGUAGCUAUCUACGUGAAUGGUGUGGUGUAGGGGAGUCCUAUUACCCACUGGAUGAUGUUUCCGGAAUACAUUGUGGACAACGUGAUCCUUGGAAAUGGGCACAGAAUAGUUACGAGAAAGUGAAGGAAAAUGGAACUGUAGUAUUUAUUGCCGGACCAACUCCUAAUCUUUCCCCCUCUACAUCUCUAUACCCUGGAAUACAGGUAGACGGGGGUAGAGGAGG
Eurytemora carolleeae is the source of this 343-nucleotide long non-coding RNA. RefSeq lists it as uncharacterized. The transcript is spliced from 3 exons. Lineage: Eukaryota; Metazoa; Arthropoda; Copepoda; Calanoida; Temoridae. The record is from RefSeq and is a predicted model, not a curated record.